CCAAGAGCCACCUGUCCAUGCCCCAAGACCAGAAAGGCAACAGGAACCACUGGGAGCACAGGGCUGUCUUCGGGUGCUGGGCACACGGGGCAGGUAUGGGCUGCAGGUGCCGGGGGCACCAGUGGGACAGAUGUUCCCGUGGGGAGAAGAAGCAAGCAGGCCUGGCCCUGGAGCCUUCUGUGCAUUGACAGCCAGGGCGGCCAUGAAGUGCCUCCUCGACAAGUUCCAGGCGCAGUGAAGUGAGAGAGUUGAACCCAGCAUCUUCCUUCCAGACCGGCAGCUGGUACCUCUGGAGCCCAGGAGCUGCGACCAAGCUGGUUCCCUACGUUUCUUCUUCACCCACGGUUUCCUCUCACCCCCUGC
This is a long non-coding RNA of Lemur catta (Ring-tailed lemur), 363 nucleotides long. RefSeq lists it as uncharacterized. Lineage: Eukaryota; Metazoa; Chordata; Mammalia; Primates; Lemuridae. The transcript has 4 exons. The record is from RefSeq and is a predicted model, not a curated record.